UACGGAAGGCAGCAGUAGGGAAUCUUCCGCAAUGGACGAAAGUCUGACGGAGCAACGCCGCGUGAACGAUGAAGGCUUUCGGGUCGUAAAGUUCUGUUGUUAGGGAGAACAAGUACCAGAGUAACUGCUGGUACCUUGACGGUACCUAACCAGAAAGCCACGGCUAACUACGUGCCAGCAGCCGCGGUAAUACGUAGGUGGCAAGCGUUGUCCGGAAUUAUUGGGCGUAAAGCGCGCGCAGGUGGUCCUUUUAAGUCUGAUGUGAAAGCCCACGGCUCAACCGUGGAGGGUCAUUGGAAACUGGGGGACUUGAGUGCAGAAGAGGAAAGUGGAAUUCCACGUGUAGCGGUGAAAUGCGUAGAGAUGUGGAGGAACACCAGUGGCGAAGGCGACUUUUCUGGUCUGUAACUGACACUGAGGCGCGAAAGCGUGGGGAGCGAACAGGGAUUAGAUACC
RNAcentral lists this ribosomal RNA (456 nucleotides) under uncultured bacterium. RNAcentral's name for it is "bacterial SSU rRNA". It matches the Rfam family "Bacterial small subunit ribosomal RNA", at positions 340 to 786 of the family's 1533-position model. The record is from RNAcentral.